This 472-nucleotide long non-coding RNA is filed under the name Hordeum vulgare. RNAcentral describes it as "long non-coding RNA (HVUL_LNC004867)". The record is from RNAcentral. Lineage: Eukaryota; Viridiplantae; Streptophyta; Magnoliopsida; Poales; Poaceae.
AAAAAAAGGGUCGGCCUGUUCUGGACGUAGGUGCCGCCGACGCGGUGAAGCUCCAUGGCCCAAGCACUUGGUGCAUCGGUAGAUGAGUGGCGGGGCACGACAACGACUGGUGACGUGGAGCUUCGGGGGUGGAGCCGGCGCAGCAAGGCGAGGUAGAGCCGACGCGGCGGGUCACAACGCAGCGGCAAGGCGAAGUGGAAACGACGCGGCGGGUCGCAGCGCAGCGGAAGGUCGCGGCGCAGCGGCAAGGCGAGGUAGAGCCGACAUGGCGGGUCGCGCGUCGGACGUGCGGGCGCGCGAGGGGGCAACCUGGCCGGCACAUCGAGGUACCGGGACAGUUCGGACGCGCGCCGGCGAGUCUGUGUCUAUUUCUUCUUCCGGAUCGUGGACCACCUCUUCCUUUUCUCUUUGAUCUUCAUGUGAUGUUCCUGAUAAAAACUGAUUUGAUGGUUAUCAAAGUUGCACUGUCGGC